GGGUUGUGAGGUUAAGCGACUAAGCGUACACGGUGGAUGCCCUGGCAGUCAGAGGCGAUGAAGGACGUGCUAAUCUGCGAUAAGCGUCGGUAAGGUGAUAUGAACCGUUAUAACCGGCGAUUUCCGAAUGGGGAAACCCAGUGUGAUUCGUCACACUAUCGUUAACUGAAUACAUAGGUUAACGAAGCGAACCGGGGGAACUGAAACAUCUAAGUACCCCGAGGAAAAGAAAUCAACCGAGAUUCCCCCAGUAGCGGCGAGCGAACGGGGAGGAGCCCAGAGCCUGAAUCAGCAUGUGUGUUAGUGGAAGCGUCUGGAAAGGCGCGCGAUACAGGGUGACAGCCCCGUACACAAAAGCGCAUGUGCUGUGAGCUCGAUGAGUAGGGCGGGACACGUGGUAUCCUGUCUGAAUAUGGGGGGACCAUCCUCCAAGGCUAAAUACUCCUGACUGACCGAUAGUGAACCAGUACCGUGAGGGAAAGGCGAAAAGAACCCCGGCGAGGGGAGUGAAAAAGAACCUGAAACCGUGUACGUACAAGCAGUGGGAGCCCCACCACCAAAGCAUUCUCUGGUGUUGAAGGCCCUGCAAAGCAGCAUCGCGGUGGCGGAGCGUCGUUUGCGACGCCCAACACACAAAACAAGCGGUGAGUGCUUUGGGGUGGGGUGACUGCGUACCUUUUGUAUAAUGGGUCAGCGACUUAUAUUCUGUAGCAAGGUUAACCGUAUAGGGGAGCCGAAGGGAAACCGAGUCUUAACUGGGCGUUAAGUUGCAGGGUAUAGACCCGAAACCCGGUGAUCUAGCCAUGGGCAGGUUGAAGGUUGGGUAACACUAACUGGAGGACCGAACCGACUAAUGUUGAAAAAUUAGCGGAUGACUUGUGGCUGGGGGUGAAAGGCCAAUCAAACCGGGAGAUAGCUGGUUCUCCCCGAAAGCUAUUUAGGUAGCGCCUCGUGAACUCAUCUUCGGGGGUAGAGCACUGUUUCGGCUAGGGGGUCAUCCCGACUUACCAACCCGAUGCAAACUGCGAAUACCGAAGAAUGUUAUCACGGGAGACACACGGCGGGUGCUAACGUCCGUCGUGAAGAGGGAAACAACCCAGACCGCCAGCUAAGGUCCCAAAGUCACAGUUAAGUGGGAAACGAUGUGGGAAGGCUCAGACAGCCAGGAUGUUGGCUUAGAAGCAGCCAUCAUUUAAAGAAAGCGUAAUAGCUCACUGGUCGAGUCGGCCUGCGCGGAAGAUGUAACGGGGCUAAACUGUGCACCGAAGCUGCGGCAGCGACGCUUAUGCGUUGUUGGGUAGGGGAGCGUUCUGUAAGCCUGCGAAGGUGUCCUGUGAGGGAUGCUGGAGGUAUCAGAAGUGCGAAUGCUGACAUAAGUAACGAUAA
This 1386-nucleotide ribosomal RNA is filed under the name Salmonella enterica subsp. enterica serovar Kentucky. RNAcentral describes it as "partial 23S ribosomal RNA". It matches the Rfam family "Bacterial large subunit ribosomal RNA", at positions 1 to 1315 of the family's 2925-position model. The record is from RNAcentral. Lineage: Bacteria; Pseudomonadati; Pseudomonadota; Gammaproteobacteria; Enterobacterales; Enterobacteriaceae.